Long non-coding RNA from Rhinopithecus roxellana (golden snub-nosed monkey), 1038 nucleotides. RefSeq lists it as uncharacterized. Lineage: Eukaryota; Metazoa; Chordata; Mammalia; Primates; Cercopithecidae. The record is from RefSeq and is a predicted model, not a curated record. The transcript is spliced from 2 exons.
GCAGCAUGAGCGAGUUCUGCCUAUUCCACACCGGCGUUAACAAUCCUUCACUAGCUUUUCUUCCCGACUCUGCUUAUUUAUCCAUCGGUAGCAUGACGGGUAAUUGACGCCCUCGGAUGGCUUUGAGGUCGCCAUUUUUGGUUGGUGCCUUUGUCAUGGUAUCAGGACCGGGAUAUCAUCUGGGACACAUUACCCCACAGGUAUCCUGUUGAACCUCAGCGAGGAAGUUGGCAACACAGGAACCGGGAGAUGAGACAGAUCGGUUGGUUGUGCCUGUGAACUGGCAAUUCAGUAAUAACAAUUGAGUGCUGACUGUUUGCCAGGAAUUGUCCUAAUCCGCUUACCUCCGUUACGCCAUUUAGUCAUUUAGAGGAGACCUGUGAGAGAUUAAGCAAAGUUCUAGCUAUUAAGUGCAGAGCCUCAGCUUGAACUCAGACCUCACUACUAAGCCAAAGCCUGUCCUGUAGCAUUCUCUAAUGCUUUCAGUUUUUCGGCUGUCAAAUGAUUGUUAGGUACCUACAGCCGCUGAGAGCCUGUAUUCCAAACCCAUGAGACGCCUUAUGUCGUGAGCAGUUGACAAGAGAGACCCAGCACUUACUGCAACCGGAAGGAGUGAUUCCUCCCUCGCUUGCUCAGCCGCUCUUCCCCGCCACUCCCUCGGCGCCCGUCAGCACCUUCCCAGCAAGCCCUGCUUAUAUUUGCAUAUCGACUCACGUCCUUUUCUUCUAAGUAAAAAUGGAAAGGACAAGUUCUAGAUUCUCCUUGUGAAGUCUUCCUUUCAGUUCAGAAGAAAUGAAAUUCGCUCUCCAACUUCAGGAAAUUGAAAUAAAGAGUUGCUUGGAUUUUGUGUUCACCUUUACCAAAAAAUGGAUUUGCUAACACUGCCACCCCGCUUUGGUAGUAAAUGAAGCAAAAAGGGCUUCUGUCGUGAGUGGCACACGUAGGGCAACUCGAUUGCUCUGCGUGCGGAAUCGACAUCAAGAGAUUUCGGAAGCAUAAUUUUUUGAUAUUCGGGCAGCUGGUGAUCGUUGGUCCCGG